CCGCCUGGGAGUACGGUCGCAAGAUUAAAACUCAAAGGAAUAGACGGGGACCCGCACAAGCGGUGGAGCAUGUGGUUUAAUUCGACGAUACACGAAGAACCUUACCUGGACUUGACAUAGUAAGAACUUUCUAGAGAUAGAUUGGUGUCUGCUUGCAGAAACUUAUAUACAGGUGCUGCACGGCUGUCGUCAGCUCGUGUCGUGAGAUGUUGGGUUAAGUCCCGCAACGAGCGCAACCCUCGUGUUUAGUUGCUAACAGUUCGGCUGAGAACUCUAAACAGACUGCCUACGCAAGUAGGAGGAAGGUGAGGACGACGUCAAGUCAUCAUGGCCCUUACGUCCAGGGCUACACACGUGCUACAAUGGGAUAUACAAAGAGCGGCAAUACGGUGACGUGGAGCAAAUCUUAUAAAAUAUCUCCCAGUUCGGAUUGUAGUCUGCAACUCGACUACAUGAAGUUGGAAUCGCUAGUAAUCGUAGAUCAGCUAUGCUACGGUGAAUACGUUCCCGGGUCUUGUACUCACCGCCCGUCACACCAUGGGAGUCGAACUCAUUCGAAGCGGGGAUGCUAAAAUAGCUACCUUCCACAGUGGAUUUGGCGACUGGGGUGAAGUCGUAACAAGGUAACCA
This 630-nucleotide ribosomal RNA is filed under the name uncultured bacterium. Its description in RNAcentral is "bacterial SSU rRNA". It matches the Rfam family "Bacterial small subunit ribosomal RNA", at positions 869 to 1502 of the family's 1533-position model. The record is from RNAcentral.